Molecule: ribosomal RNA, 2902 nt
Filed under: Klebsiella pneumoniae
Lineage: Bacteria; Pseudomonadati; Pseudomonadota; Gammaproteobacteria; Enterobacterales; Enterobacteriaceae
Description: 23S ribosomal RNA
Rfam family: Bacterial large subunit ribosomal RNA
Source: RNAcentral
GGUUAAGCGACUAAGCGUACACGGUGGAUGCCCUGGCAGUCAGAGGCGAUGAAGGACGUGCUAAUCUGCGAAAAGCGUCGGUAAGGUGAUAUGAACCGUUAUAACCGGCGAUGUCCGAAUGGGGAAACCCAGUGCAAUUCGUUGCACUAUCGUUAACUGAAUACAUAGGUUAACGAGGCGAACCGGGGGAACUGAAACAUCUAAGUACCCCGAGGAAAAGAAAUCAACCGAGAUUCCCCCAGUAGCGGCGAGCGAACGGGGAGCAGCCCAGAGUCUGAAUCAGCUUGUGUGUUAGUGGAACGGUCUGGAAAGUCCGACGGUACAGGGUGAUAGUCCCGUACACCAAAAUGCACAGGCUGUGAACUCGAAGAGUAGGGCGGGACACGUGGUAUCCUGUCUGAAUAUGGGGGGACCAUCCUCCAAGGCUAAAUACUCCUGACUGACCGAUAGUGAACCAGUACCGUGAGGGAAAGGCGAAAAGAACCCCGGCGAGGGGAGUGAAAAAGAACCUGAAACCGUGUACGUACAAGCAGUGGGAGCACCUUCGGGUGUGACUGCGUACCUUUUGUAUAAUGGGUCAGCGACUUAUAUUCUGUAGCAAGGUUAACCGUAUAGGGGAGCCGCAGGGAAACCGAGUCUUAACUGGGCGUUAAGUUGCAGGGUAUAGACCCGAAACCCGGUGAUCUAGCCAUGGGCAGGUUGAAGGUUGGGUAACACUAACUGGAGGACCGAACCGACUAAUGUUGAAAAAUUAGCGGAUGACUUGUGGCUGGGGGUGAAAGGCCAAUCAAACCGGGAGAUAGCUGGUUCUCCCCGAAAGCUAUUUAGGUAGCGCCUCGUGAACUCAUCUUCGGGGGUAGAGCACUGUUUCGGCUAGGGGGUCAUCCCGACUUACCAACCCGAUGCAAACUACGAAUACCGAAGAAUGUUAUCACGGGAGACACACGGCGGGUGCUAACGUCCGUCGUGAAGAGGGAAACAACCCAGACCGCCAGCUAAGGUCCCAAAGUCAUGGUUAAGUGGGAAACGAUGUGGGAAGGCACAGACAGCCAGGAUGUUGGCUUAGAAGCAGCCAUCAUUUAAAGAAAGCGUAAUAGCUCACUGGUCGAGUCGGCCUGCGCGGAAGAUGUAACGGGGCUAAACCAUGCACCGAAGCUGCGGCAGCGACACUAUGUGUUGUUGGGUAGGGGAGCGUUCUGUAAGCCUGCGAAGGUGUGCUGUGAGGCAUGCUGGAGGUAUCAGAAGUGCGAAUGCUGACAUAAGUAACGAUAAAGCGGGUGAAAAGCCCGCUCGCCGGAAGACCAAGGGUUCCUGUCCAACGUUAAUCGGGGCAGGGUGAGUCGACCCCUAAGGCGAGGCCGAAAGGCGUAGUCGAUGGGAAACAGGUUAAUAUUCCUGUACUUGGUGUUACUGCGAAGGGGGGACGGAGAAGGCUAUGUUAGCCGGGCGACGGUUGUCCCGGUUUAAGCAUGUAGGCUGGUUAUCCAGGCAAAUCCGGAUAAUCAAGGCUGAGGUGUGAUGACGAGGCACUACGGUGCUGAAGUAACAAAUGCCCUGCUUCCAGGAAAAGCCUCUAAGCAUCAGGUAACAUCAAAUCGUACCCCAAACCGACACAGGUGGUCAGGUAGAGAAUACCAAGGCGCUUGAGAGAACUCGGGUGAAGGAACUAGGCAAAAUGGUGCCGUAACUUCGGGAGAAGGCACGCUGGUGUGUAGGUGAAGCCCCUGCGGGUGGAGCUGAGACCAGUCGAAGAUACCAGCUGGCUGCAACUGUUUAUUAAAAACACAGCACUGUGCAAACACGAAAGUGGACGUAUACGGUGUGACGCCUGCCCGGUGCCGGAAGGUUAAUUGAUGGGGUUAUCCGUAAGGAGAAGCUCUUGAUCGAAGCCCCGGUAAACGGCGGCCGUAACUAUAACGGUCCUAAGGUAGCGAAAUUCCUUGUCGGGUAAGUUCCGACCUGCACGAAUGGCGUAAUGAUGGCCAGGCUGUCUCCACCCGAGACUCAGUGAAAUUGAACUCGCUGUGAAGAUGCAGUGUACCCGCGGCAAGACGGAAAGACCCCGUGAACCUUUACUAUAGCUUGACACUGAACAUUGAGCCUUGAUGUGUAGGAUAGGUGGGAGGCUUUGAAGCGUGGACGCCAGUCUGCGUGGAGCCAACCUUGAAAUACCACCCUUUAAUGUUUGAUGUUCUAACGUUGGCCCCUUACCGGGGUUGCGGACAGUGUCUGGUGGGUAGUUUGACUGGGGCGGUCUCCUCCCAAAGCGUAACGGAGGAGCACGAAGGUUAGCUAAUCCUGGUCGGACAUCAGGAGGUUAGUGCAAUGGCAUAAGCUAGCUUGACUGCGAGCGUGACGGCGCGAGCAGGUGCGAAAGCAGGUCAUAGUGAUCCGGUGGUUCUGAAUGGAAGGGCCAUCGCUCAACGGAUAAAAGGUACUCCGGGGAUAACAGGCUGAUACCGCCCAAGAGUUCAUAUCGACGGCGGUGUUUGGCACCUCGAUGUCGGCUCAUCACAUCCUGGGGCUGAAGUAGGUCCCAAGGGUAUGGCUGUUCGCCAUUUAAAGUGGUACGCGAGCUGGGUUUAGAACGUCGUGAGACAGUUCGGUCCCUAUCUGCCGUGGGCGCUGGAGAAUUGAGGGGGGCUGCUCCUAGUACGAGAGGACCGGAGUGGACGCAUCACUGGUGUUCGGGUUGUCAUGCCAAUGGCACUGCCCGGUAGCUAAAUGCGGAAGAGAUAAGUGCUGAAAGCAUCUAAGCACGAAACUUGCCCCGAGAUGAGUUCUCCCUGAGACUUUAAGUCUCCUGAAGGAACGUUGAAGACGACGACGUUGAUAGGCCGGGUGUGUAAGCGCAGCGAUGCGUUGAGCUAACCGGUACUAAUGAACCGUGAGGCUUAACCUU